GCCCAGCUAGCUCAGUUGGUAGAGCAUGAGACUCUUAAUCUCAGGGUUGUGGGUUCAAGCCCCAUGUUGGGCA
Molecule: transfer RNA, 73 nt
Organism: Loxodonta africana (African savanna elephant)
Lineage: Eukaryota; Metazoa; Chordata; Mammalia; Proboscidea; Elephantidae
Rfam family: tRNA
About the family: Transfer RNA (tRNA) molecules are approximately 80 nucleotides in length. Their secondary structure includes four short double-helical elements and three loops (D, anti-codon, and T loops).
Source: Rfam